AAUCCGGAUAAUCAAGGCUGAGGUGUGAUGACGAGGCACUACGGCGCUGAAGUAACAAAUGCCCUGCUUCCAGGAAAAGCCUCUAAGCAUCAGGUAACAUUAAAUCGUACCCCAAACCGACACAGGUGGUCAGGUAGAGAAUACCAAGGCGCUUGAGAGAACUCGGGUGAAGGAACUAGGCAAAAUGGUGCCGUAACUUCGGGAGAAGGCACGCUGGUGUGUAGGUGA
This 228-nucleotide ribosomal RNA is filed under the name Klebsiella pneumoniae. RNAcentral's name for it is "partial 23S ribosomal RNA". It matches the Rfam family "Bacterial large subunit ribosomal RNA", at positions 1539 to 1765 of the family's 2925-position model. Lineage: Bacteria; Pseudomonadati; Pseudomonadota; Gammaproteobacteria; Enterobacterales; Enterobacteriaceae. The record is from RNAcentral.